Hypomesus transpacificus is the source of this 2211-nucleotide RNA transcript. It is a transcript of the gene named tyrosylprotein sulfotransferase 1, with no coding region annotated. The transcript has 7 exons. The record is from RefSeq and is a predicted model, not a curated record. NCBI's taxonomy places the organism in Eukaryota, Metazoa, Chordata, Actinopteri, Osmeriformes, Osmeridae.
UCUUUCAAGGCUGUGGCACCAGUCUAGUAAGUAGUGGUGACGGUUUUGCACAUAGCUACAAAUGUAGAGAGAGCAGUAAUAAGUAUUCUUGUCUGUAUUAUAAGAGAAUGCCGUUUUGAGCAGACAAUACGAACGGAAUGUAUUGUCACGAUUGUCAACACUUUGGAACAGUUAGCUAAUCAACUAGUCAACUCUCUCCUGCAACGGAUCCAUAACAUUAUUUGGCCUAAUGGAGCUGGGGACUCAACGAGCGCUGCACACCCAGGAACACAGUCCAAGCUCGGCCCCUGCCGGCCAGCCUUGAAGAGAGAGGACCACCCUGUUACCACUCCCCCUUUCCCUUCUCCCCUCUCCCGACUAUUCCUCCCCCCAAAUUUCCCUCAGUGACCCUUCUCGACCUCUUCCCCAGCCCCUCUUCAGCCUCCAUCAUGAUCAUCGGCAAACUAAAGCAAAACCUGCUGGUGGCCUGUCUGGUCAUCAGCUCCGUCACAGUGUUCUACUUGGGACGUCACGCCAUGGAGUGCCACCACCGCAUCGAAGAGCGCAGUCAGCUCGGCUCCGGUCCUGGCGGGGUCCUGGCCCUGUCCUCGCUGGGCGGCAGCAUGCGGACUACCCUGCGGACGGGCCAGAAUCUCAGCAUCCCCUUUGUCUACAACAAGGACAUGCCACUUAUCUUCAUUGGCGGCGUCCCCCGUAGUGGCACCACGUUGAUGCGCGCCAUGCUCGACGCCCACCCAGAGGUGCGCUGUGGCGAGGAGACGCGCGUCAUCCCCCGCAUCUUGGCCAUGAAGCAGAUGUGGAGCCGCUCGGGCCGGGAGAAGAUGCGUCUGGACGAGGCGGGCGUGACUGAUGAGGUGCUGGAUGCUGCCAUGCAGGCCUUCCUGCUGGAGAUCAUCGUCAAGCACGGCGAACCAGCCAACUUCCUGUGCAACAAGGACCCUUUUGCACUUAAGUCACUGUCCUACCUGGCCAAGAUCUUCCCUCGGGCUAAGUUUAUAUUGAUGAUCCGGGAUGGCCGUGCUUCGGUCCACUCCAUGAUCUCACGGAAAGUGACCAUUGCCGGCUUUGACCUGGGCAGCUACAGGGACUGCCUCACCAAGUGGAACCGGGCCAUAGAGACCAUGUACACUCAGUGCCUGGAGGCGGCAGACAAGUGCCUGCCUGUGCACUAUGAACAGCUGGUCCUCCACCCAGAGAAGUGGAUGAGGACGCUGCUGAAAUUCCUCGACAUUCCCUGGAAUGAAGCGGUGCUCCACCACGAGGAGCUUAUCGGGAAGGCCGGAGGAGUGUCCCUUUCCAAGGUUGAACGGUCCACUGAUCAGGUGAUCAAGCCAGUCAAUGUGGAGGCCUUAUCCAAGUGGGUGGGCAAGAUCCCAGCGGAUGUGUUGAGGGACAUGUCCGUCAUCGCCCCCAUGCUGUCUCGACUGGGUUACGACCCCCAUGCCAACCCCCCAAACUAUGGCAAGCCAGACCCAAAGGUCAUGGACAACACCAGGAGGGUUUUUAAAGGUGAAUUUCAGCUACCUGAAUUUCUAAGAGAACAAUCACAGCUUCAGAAGACUCCAGAGAGGCCCAACCCCAGUUAGGAGGCCAAGGGGGGCAGCAACCAAAUCCACACAGAUUUGUCUUGAAGAUGAAUAGAACUCCAGUGAGGUUUACUCUCUGGAAAGCCAGACAGGGUACAGAGGGGCAGAGAGAGACAUCAACACAUCCAUCUUGCCACAUUUAGGAGACCUCAAGUGCUGUUCCAUGGAGGGGUCAAAGGGUCAUUUUAACUGGAUGGGAACUGUUAAUACAGUGACCACCACAUUCACCUAUUACGAAGCCCCAUGCUGGGGUCUGGACCACUCUUGCUCUUCAGAGAACUCUUGGCCUUUGAUGUUGUACUGUAAUAAAUUGCAUUUGUCACAAAAAAGUGACCACAGAAUGUUGUUGCUGUUUGUUUAGUUUCUUUGUCACAUCAUGCUCAUCUGGUUUAAAAAAAAAAAAGUUUUCUAGCUAUGAGAAAAUCUGUGAUUCUGUUGUAAGAAACUGCAGUGAACUUAAAUUGCAAAAGAAAGUAUUUAUGGGUGAAAGUUAGCUUUUUGAAAAUGCAAUAUCUAUUUUAAUGUUUAAUUUUUUCAUGCCUUUGUAUUGUGCAAUUCCAUGGGUACUGAUGUUCAAGAUCACAGUUUUGAGUAUUGACAGUGAUAAAAACAGGCAUUUUUUUAA